GGCGAGGCUGAGAGGAUGGGGACCGGAGGCUUGUGGUGCCAGGGUGGACCGGAGACUGAGGCUGGAGACCAGGAGCCUGCAGCACCAGACCAGAGGACCAGGAAUCCAUGGCUGAAGGAGCUGAUGGAGGUGCCGUGCUGAAGGAGCUGAUGGAGGUGCCGUGCUGAAGGAGCUGAUGGAGGUGCCGUGCUGAAGGAGCUGAUGGAGGAGCCGUGCUGAAGGCCCUGGGCUGGUGGAGGAGCUGGUGGAGGCCCUGCCUGGUGAAGGACGUCUGUCGUGGGGUAGAUGGUGCCUGACUCUGAAACCAGGACUUUGUCUGAGGAGAGCUGAUGGAGGAGCUGAGACGCUGGAGGACAACUAGGAAUCGACCAAUAAGGAUUCCUCAACGUGUUUCUGGAGCGGAGGCGAGUUGGUAGGGGAGCCGUGAAUCUGCAGGAUGACCAUCCCUCUACCAACAAGGAUUGUCUAUAUCAUGGAUAUUCAACUGCAGUUCUGUGAGUAUCCCAACUUGACCAUGAAGAUGAACUGCAAACUGUAAGUCAUAAGUUUCUCAUUACUCUUGGGCACAUUGAUGUAUUUUGGCUUCCUGGUGAGUUAGUCCGUAACCUCACGGUUGUUCUGAGUAGUGAGGAUGUUUUAUUGGUUCAUGGGUUACUUAGGUGUUUGGUUUAUGUUGGUUUUAAUGAUUUUUUUAAAUGGUUACAGGCUCCAAGUUAUUGUUGUAAGCUGGAGUAAUGGGUUGGGUUCUGAUAACAUCAGUCUUCUUUUCAGCUACUCUCCUGAGCUCUGCAUCUUCAUCACAUGAGUGUUGCUUUACUGAUGAGGGUGUGGUCUGAGUGAGCAGAGGUGCAUACUGGGAUACAGAGCUGUCUGAAGUCUACAGGUCUGUAGACACGCCCCCUCAGGGGAAACCAAGUGUUUGAGAAACCGUCGUGACGUCGGUUACAUGGACUGGAAUGUUCUUUGAAAUGGACUCAGGGAUUCAGAAGGAGAAACACCAUGGGGAGAUGAGGGGGCUCCUCAUCUCAACGACUAAAACAAAACUUCAGUCUGACACAGAACCAUGGAAGACAUUCAACAGUCUCCUCCAGACAUCGUGACUCCUCAGGAACAGUUUCAUUUCCAUGAAGGUCUUAUUUGGGGCCAUCCCCAGAUGGAUCCUGCUCCUCAAGAGCCACCCCCCCUCCACUGGGUGGUCUUCUGAACAGAUGACCUCCUUCCUGUCCUCAGGCUGACUAAGGCUGCACCGUUUCCAUCUCUGAAGGCCCCUCAUUCAGGAAACCACUGGACUACAAAGACAUGACUUCAGAGACGUUGAAUCAACCUGGGACACAUUUGGAGACGCCAAGCAUAAUCCAUCACCAAUGUGGGACGCCACUGAAGAAUGUUGUAAAUAAUUUACGUCUCUGGAGACAUUGGUUGUUCUGUUCUGGGUGCCCUGGCAGGAGAGCUGGGGGUGGAUGAUAGAAUGUUA
Long non-coding RNA from Gadus chalcogrammus (walleye pollock), 1474 nucleotides. RefSeq lists it as uncharacterized. NCBI's taxonomy places the organism in Eukaryota, Metazoa, Chordata, Actinopteri, Gadiformes, Gadidae. The transcript has 5 exons. The record is from RefSeq and is a predicted model, not a curated record.